Molecule: non-coding RNA, 788 nt
Filed under: Platychauliodes sp.
Lineage: Eukaryota; Metazoa; Arthropoda; Insecta; Megaloptera; Corydalidae
Source: RNAcentral
UAAAAGUUUUAUUUUGGCUAAAAAAUUUAUUUUAUUUAUAUUUUAUAUGAAAAUUUUUGUGUGAAUUUAUUUUAAUCUUAAGGAUUUUUAUAAAAUUUUAUCCUCAGUAUUUGAUUUUAAAAAUUAAAGAAAUUUAGAUUUAGUAAUAAAUAGUAGUAUGGGUUAAUUUUGUGCCAGCAUCCGCGGUUAUACAAAAUAUAUAAAUAAAUUUUAUUAUUGUGUAGUUAAAUGUUAAAUUUUAAUUGAAAUUUUUAUUAAUAAGGUGAAAUUUAUUAUAAUAUUUAGAUUAUUAAAUAAUUUAUUGAAGCUAUAAAAUUUUAAUAAUAAACUAGGAUUAGAUACCCUAUUAUUUAAAAUAUAAAUGGUUUAAAUUAGGUAGUAAUAGAUAAGAUCUUGAAACUUAAAAAAUUUGGCGGUAUUUUAAUCUAUUUAGAGGAAUCUGUUCCAUAAUUGAUAGUCCACGAUAAAUUUUACAUAAUUUUAUUUAGUUUGUAUAUCGUCGUUAUAAGAAUAUUUUAUAAGAAUAUAAAUUUUCUAAAAUUUUAAUUUGAAUUUAUUUCAGAUCAAGGUGCAGCUUAUAAUUAUGAGGAAAUGGAUUACAAUAAGUUUAUUUAUAUGGAUAAUGAAAUGAAAUUUUUGUUUGAAGGUGGAUUUAAUAGUAAAAUAAAAAAUAUUUUUUAUUUGAUUAUAGCUCUAAAAUAUGCACAUAUCGCCCGUCGCUCUCUUUAUUUUUAAAAGAGAUAAGUCGUAACAAAGUAGGUGUACUGGAAAGUGUACCUAGAAUGAUA